GGGACAACCCGCCGAAAGGCGGGCUAAACCCGCGUACAUGCCACCGGGGCAUCCCGGAGGCAGGAAAGGCUUCGGCCGGACAGGGAUGGGCAUGCGGCGCAUUAGGCAGUAGGCGGGGUAACGGCCCACCUAACCGACGAUGCGUAGGGGUUCUGAGAGGAAGGUCCCCCACACUGGUACUGAGACACGGACCAGACUCCUACGGGAGGCAGCAGUGAGGAAUAUUGGUCAAUGGUCGGGAGACUGAACCAGCCAAGCCGCGUGAGGGAGGAAGGUACAGAGUAUCGUAAACCUCUUUUGUCAGGGAACAAAGACUGGGACGCGUCCCCGGAUGAGUGUACCUGAAGAAAAAGCAUCGGCUAACUCCGUGCCAGCAGCCGCGGUAAUACGGAGAAUGCGAGCGUUAUCCGGAUUUAUUGGGUUUAAAGGGUGCGCAGGCGGUCUGUUAAGUCAGCGGUCAAAGCCCGGGGCUCAACCCCGGCCCGCCGUUGAAACUGGCAGUCUCGGGUUGGAGAGAAGUAUGCGGAAUGCGCGGUGUAGCGGUGAAAUGCAUAGAUAUCGCGCAGAACUCCGAUUGCGAAGGCAGCAUGCCGGCUCCACACUGACGCUGAGGCACGAAAGCGUGGGUAUCGAACAGGAUUAGAUACCCUGGUAGUCCACGCAGUAAACGAUGAAUGCUGGCUGUCCG
RNAcentral lists this ribosomal RNA (688 nucleotides) under uncultured bacterium. RNAcentral describes it as "bacterial SSU rRNA". It matches the Rfam family "Bacterial small subunit ribosomal RNA", at positions 140 to 826 of the family's 1533-position model. The record is from RNAcentral.